AGGACGAACGCUGGCGGCGCGCUUAACACAUGCAAGUCGAGCGAGAACCUGGCCUUCGGGCCUGGGGAAAGCGGCGAACGGGUGAGUAACACGUGGGUAACCCACCCUUGGUACCGGGAUAGCCCGAGGAAACUCGGAUUAAAUACCGGAUGGCCCAACAGCUCUUCGGGGCGGUUGGAAAAGGUAGCUUCGGCCUCCGACCAAGGACGGGCCCGCGGCGGAUUAGCUUGUUGGUGAGGUAACGGCCCACCAAGGCGACGACGGGUA
RNAcentral lists this ribosomal RNA (267 nucleotides) under uncultured bacterium. RNAcentral describes it as "partial small subunit ribosomal RNA". It matches the Rfam family "Bacterial small subunit ribosomal RNA", at positions 26 to 285 of the family's 1533-position model. The record is from RNAcentral.